AGAGUUUGAUCCUGGCUCAGGACGAACGCUGGCGGCGCGCCUAACACAUGCAAGUCGAACGAGAGAUGAGGAGCUUGCUCUUCAAAUCGAGUGGCGAACGGGUGAGUAACGCGUGAGGAACCUGCCUCAAAGAGGGGGACAACAGUUGGAAACGACUGCUAAUACCGCAUAAGCCCACAGCUUGGCAUCGAGCAGAGGGAAAAGGAGCAAUCCGCUUUGAGAUGGCCUCGCGUCCGAUUAGCUAGUUGGUGAGGUAACGGCCCACCAAGGCGACGAUCGGUAGCCGGACUGAGAGGUUGAACGGCCACAUUGGGACUGAGACACGGCCCAGACUCCUACGGGAGGCAGCAGUGGGGAAUAUUGCACAAUGGGGGAAACCCUGAUGCAGCGACGCCGCGUGGAGGAAGAAGGUCUUCGGAUUGUAAACUCCUGUUGUUGAGGAAGAUAAUGACGGUACUCAACAAGGAAGUGACGGCUAACUACGUGCCAGCAGCCGCGGUAAAACGUAGGUCACAAGCGUUGUCCGGAAUUACUGGGUGUAAAGGGAGCGCAGGCGGACCGGCAAGUUGGAAGUGAAAACUAUGGGCUCAACCCAUAAAUUGCUUUCAAAACUGCUGGCCUUGAGUAGUGCAGAGGUAGGUGGAAUUCCCGGUGUAGCGGUGGAAUGCGUAGAUAUCGGGAGGAACACCAGUGGCGAAGGCGACCUACUGGGCACCAACUGACGCUGAGGCUCGAAAGCAUGGGUAGCAAACAGGAUUAGAUACCCUGGUAGUCCAUGCCGUAAACGAUGAUUACUAGGUGUUGGAGGAUUGACCCCUUCAGUGCCGCAGUUAACACAAUAAGUAAUCCACCUGGGGAGUACGACCGCAAGGUUGAAACUCAAAGGAAUUGACGGGGGCCCGCACAAGCAGUGGAGCAUGCGGUUUAAUUCGAAGCAACGCGAAGAACCUUACCUGAUCUUGACACCCCGAUGACCGCUUCGUAAUGGAAGCUUUUCUUCGGAACAUCGGUGACAGGUGGUGCAUGGUUGUCGUCAGCUCGUGUCGUGAGAUGUUGGGUUAAGUCCCGCAACGAGCGCAACCCCUAUCUUCAGUAGCCAGCAGGUUAAGCUGGGCACUCUGGAGAGACUGCCAGGGAUAACCUGGAGGAAGGUGGGGAUGACGUCAAAUCAUCAUGCCCCUUAUGACCAGGGCUACACACGUGCUACAAUGGCGUAAACAAAGAGAAGCGAACUCGCGAGGGUAAGCAAAUCUCAAAAAUAACGUCUCAGUUCGGAUUGUAGUCUGCAACUCGACUACAUGAAGCUGGAAUCGCUAGUAAUCGCAGAUCAGGAUGCUGCGGUGAAUACGUUCCCGGGUUUUGCACACACCGCCCGUCA
This 1378-nucleotide ribosomal RNA is filed under the name uncultured bacterium. RNAcentral describes it as "16S ribosomal RNA". It matches the Rfam family "Bacterial small subunit ribosomal RNA". The record is from RNAcentral.